This 276-nucleotide ribosomal RNA is filed under the name uncultured bacterium. RNAcentral's name for it is "partial 16S ribosomal RNA". It matches the Rfam family "Bacterial small subunit ribosomal RNA", at positions 78 to 353 of the family's 1533-position model. The record is from RNAcentral.
UCUAAGGCCGAUGGCGACCGGCGCACGGGUGAGUAACACGUAUCCAACCUGCCGAUAACUCGGGGAUAGCCUUUCGAAAGAAAGAUUAAUACCCGAUGGCAUAAUAGAACCGCAUGGUUUGAUUAUUAAAGAAUUUCGGUUAUCGAUGGGGAUGCGUUCCAUUAGGCAGUUGGUGGGGUAACGGCCCACCAAACCUUCGAUGGAUAGGGGUUCUGAGAGGAAGGUCCCCCACAUUGGAACUGAGACACGGUCCAAACUCCUACGGGAGGCAGCAUG